CCAGCUCCAAUAGCGUAUACUAAAGUUGUUGCAGUUAAAAAGCUCGUAGUUGAAUUUCUGGUUCUGGAACUCGGUCAGCCCUAGGGUUUGUACCUGUGGAACAGAGCCAUCUAUGAGGAUAUUAUAUCUGUCAUUGAGUUGAUGGGUAUAAGAGCCUCGUCAUUUACUGUGAGCAAAAUAGAGUGUUCAAAGCAGGCUUAUGCCGUUGAAUACAUUAGCAUGGAAUAAUAAGAUAAGACCUUGGUCUAUUUUGUUGGUUAGUACUCCAAGGUAAUGAUUAAUAGGGACAGUUGGGGGUAUUCGUAUUCAAUUGUCAGAGGUGAAAUUCUUGGAUUUAUGGAAGACGAACAACUGCGAAAGCAUUUACCAAGGAUGUUUUCA
This 381-nucleotide ribosomal RNA is filed under the name Ochromonas sp. RNAcentral describes it as "SSU rRNA". It matches the Rfam family "Eukaryotic small subunit ribosomal RNA", at positions 585 to 972 of the family's 1831-position model. RNAcentral also lists the same sequence under 1 other name. The record is from RNAcentral. Lineage: Eukaryota; Chrysophyceae; Chromulinales; Chromulinaceae.